RNAcentral lists this ribosomal RNA (254 nucleotides) under uncultured bacterium. RNAcentral's name for it is "partial 16S ribosomal RNA". It matches the Rfam family "Bacterial small subunit ribosomal RNA", at positions 524 to 776 of the family's 1533-position model. The record is from RNAcentral.
UACGUAGGCAGCGAGCGUUGUUCGGAGUUACUGGGCGUAAAGGGUGUGUAGGCGGUUGUUUAAGUUUGGUGUGAAAUCUCCCGGCUCAACUGGGAGGGUGCGCCGAAUACUGAAUGACUUGGAGUGCGGGAGAGGAAAGUGGAAUUCCUGGUGUAGCGGUGAAAUGCGUAGAUAUCAGGAGGAACACCGGUGGUGUAGACGGCUUUCUGGACCGUAACUGACGCUGAGACACGAAAGCUAGGGGAGCAAACAGG